RNAcentral lists this ribosomal RNA (396 nucleotides) under uncultured bacterium. Its description in RNAcentral is "bacterial SSU rRNA". It matches the Rfam family "Bacterial small subunit ribosomal RNA", at positions 29 to 425 of the family's 1533-position model. The record is from RNAcentral.
AUUGAACGCUGGCGGCAUGCUUUACACAUGCAAGUCGAGCGGCAGCGCGGGGGCAACCCUGGCGGCGAGCGGCGAACGGGUGAGUAAUGCAUCGGAACGUAUCCUGUAGUGGGGAAUAACUCACCGAAAGGUGAGCUAAUACCGCAUAAGCUCUGAGGAGGAAAAGCGGGGGGACCGAAAGGCCUCGCGCUGCAGGAGCGGCCGAUGUCCGAUUAGCUAGUUGGUGAGGUAAAGGCUCACCAAGGCGACGAUCGGUAGCUGGUCUGAGAGGAUGAUCAGCCACACUGGGACUGAGACACGGCCCAGACUCCUACGGGAGGCAGCAGUGGGGAAUUUUGGACAAUGGGGAAACCCUGAUCCAGCCAUGCCGCGUGAGUGAAGAAGGCCUUCGGGUUG